This 82-nucleotide transfer RNA is filed under the name Spirosoma oryzae. RNAcentral describes it as "tRNA-Tyr". It matches the Rfam family "tRNA". Rfam says of the family: Transfer RNA (tRNA) molecules are approximately 80 nucleotides in length. Lineage: Bacteria; Pseudomonadati; Bacteroidota; Cytophagia; Cytophagales; Cytophagaceae. The record is from RNAcentral.
GAGUAUGCGCCGAAGCAGGAGAGUCGGGGCGGUCUGUAAAACCGUUGUUCAUACUGAGUAGGUUCGAAUCCUAUCAUACCCA